CUCGUUCUCAGGCUCCCGUGGUGGGUCCCCUGCUCACCCACCCUGGCAGCUCCCACAGAAGGAAGCAGCUCUUCUCGAAAGUUCCCAACAGCGUCCCCCGCCGGUUUCCACAGCUCUCACGGUGGCUGGAGGGCCCCGUGCCCUUGUGAGCCUGUCAGCAUGGCACCUGGGCUGUGAUGCUGCGUGCUGGCCUGGUCACUUGCAGGGAGGGGGCCCAAGGCUGGUCUGAACCACGAGCCUGGUGGGGUGGGAGGCGGGUAGCAGAGUCCCCCGGGCCCUUCCUCUCAGAGAGAAAGCAGAUGAGACACAAGUGACAAGCUGUCAGGAGGGAAUCCUCCGCUUUUCGGGAUAACUCAACAAACGCACAAGAAGGACUUGCUGCCCACGAAACAGCGGUGACGCUCAGGUACUGAACUCCACGUUUCCCCGAAGCAGGGGUGGGAGGGCUGCUCACGAGGCCGUCACCCCGGGGUGAAGAUUCAGGACCUUCCAGGCCUGCUGGCUGCAGGCCGGCUUUGCCCAGACCCCGAAGGGCACAAGCAGCUGUCGCUGUGGGGAGGCCAGGGCGGGGGGCUGGGAGAUGGAGGCCAGCUCCACGGGGCGUUCAGCCCGUCAGCCCCCAGUGGAGACUUCUCAGAGCACUGGAUUUCGGGAGGUCACGGACAGGCAGCAGGAGGCCCUGGAAGUCAGUGCGCCUUCACCUGGGACAGGGAGGCCCCUGCCCCAUCGCGGGCUUCCUCAUUCCAGAGUCUGCUUCCAGGCACCACAGCCCAAGUCCAGGGGGAGAAGUAGUUCAAGCCCCCCAAACACUCAGCAGGAUGUCGUCGAGGAGAGCAGAGCGUCUAGAGGCAGACCUCCUGAUUUCUUCCGGCUCUGUGACCUUGAACUGGUCCCGUUACUCUGGAGCCUUAUUGUCCUCUUGAGUUGUUGUUGUUUGGUUGAUAAGUCGUGUCCGACUCCUUGUGACCCCAUGGCCUGCAGCCCACCAGGCUCCUCUGUCCGUGGGAUGGAGUGGGUUGCCAUUUCCUCCUCCAGGGGAUCUUCCCAACCCACAGAUUGCCUCCACUGGCAGGCAGAUUCUUUACCACUGAGCCACCAGGGAAGCCCUUCCUCAUCAGUAAAGUGGGAAUAAUCAUCACACCUGCCUCAGUACCGACCGCCUGGCACACGGGGUGGCUGCGAGGAACGUGAGAUGGUGUGAGCUGGGGACUUGGGCGGGUGAACAGCUGUGCAAUAUCCAGGGUCGUUCAGGUGCCGUCAGAAGUGGUCGUCCCAGCCCCAGCCCUUCAAGAGACCCAGACUGAGCUUAAAGGAUUCCUCGUCCCCGCCAACCAGGGUCAGCUUCCAGCAUCAGUCAAACAGACCAAAGAGGCUGGAAUCCCCCGGACGUUCCACUCCGUUAGCUCUGCUAACUGAUUCCGCAGCCAGCCCUGAUAGAUGCAGAGCUGGACUUUGCUGUCUGUGGUCAGAUUUCCUGGUAGCAGUCACUCUGGCCUUGACCUCUGUUCUUAAUCCCGAAUCCCCUGUGGCCCCUUUGCCCAGGGGCAGGCCAGACAGCCCUCUAUCUUAUCUACGGAGCUGAAUCCACGUCAAGAGUGAAGGACCACCACACCCUGCCGUCCGGCAUCGCAUCCGCCCGACCCAGUAGCACCUGGAGCAGUCCCGGGCAGGCUUCCCCAGCCCCGAUUUGACACCCAGAGGAGCUGACAGCUGAGCUGACCCCAUCGCCCUCUGCCCGCCCUCUCCUGGUGCAAACACAUCGCUCGGUGUCUCCGGCAGAACCAGGGAUGGGCCAUGCUCCCGACCGUCUCAAGAGCCAUUCCGGCCCCCAGACCUGCCUGGUGCGUUGCUCCCUGAAGUGCCUGCACACCCGUGAUGGCCACGGUGGAGGUGAGGAGGGCAACUUUGGCGGCGCUGAGUCACCCGCCCGAAGGUGCGUGGUACCUGGCCCAGGACACAGACGGACCUCGGCCGGGUCCCCUGCCAGCCUCAGGACACCAGCCCGCCCUUCAGCGCAGCUCUGCCCACCCCAUCCUCCCAGCAGAAGGUUGUGCUGGGGGCUCCUUCACCCCAAGAAUGCCUCACUCCUGGAGCCCCUAGCUCUCUGCCCCAAGGCUGGAGACCUUGGGAAACCCAAGUGCUUCCCCACAGGGAAGCACGCACCUCCAGCUCCUGAGGCCAGCUCUGUGACCCCUGCCCUCCCGGGGACACCACUGAGCCCGUACGCUCUCUGGAGUGCUCUAUCUGGUCAGGAGACUCACCUCUGCCUCCCUUGGUCACUGAACAACACAGAGCCCCACACAGGGAAGGCUCCUUGGAAACCUGCCCGAUUUGAUUGCCCUUUGUGUUGGGCUCAGAACUGUUCUCCCACCAAGAAGGCUCUGGAGUCUAAAAUUCUGUGUGGUCCCCUCUGUCUUCCUGUCGGACACGGUGCUACGGACAAGCACAGGGGAACUUCAGCCCCUCCCCACCCCCGGAGGGACUGGCCCUCUUGGACUGGAGCCUGAACUGGUCUGAGUGGUCACGGGAGCCGGGAUCACCCUGGUGUGCAGGGGCGCUUUUUGCAGACGGAUCCGAAAAGCAAGAAUCUAGACUCCAUUGUCUAGGAUUCUAUUUUAUGUGUUG
Molecule: long non-coding RNA, 2625 nt
Organism: Bos taurus (domestic cattle)
Lineage: Eukaryota; Metazoa; Chordata; Mammalia; Artiodactyla; Bovidae
Source: Ensembl